Molecule: long non-coding RNA, 973 nt
Organism: Bubalus bubalis (water buffalo)
Lineage: Eukaryota; Metazoa; Chordata; Mammalia; Artiodactyla; Bovidae
Exons: 2
Source: RefSeq, a predicted model, not a curated record
CCCCGGCCCCUGCGCGCUGGCCCGCCCCCUCGUCCGCCGCCUUUGCAGCCUCGCCUCCGCGGCGGCCCGGCGGACGCGGGAAGGACCGUGUUCACGGCCCUCGGGCGUCGGCCCCGGCCUCGUCCCCUGCGGUCGGGGGUCCGCUCACCUGGCGCGGUGACCGGGACCACCCGACCCCCGCGGGCAGCGAGACGGAGUGGCCGAGCGCGCGCGUCCGAGCCGGGCCCUUCCCACACCUUUCUCUAGCUUAACCGAAUAGUUUAUUGUUUGUGCCGCCGAGUUCCGAGGCAGUGUGAUGUCAAGUUGCGUGUUGGUAACUUGACUCAAACUCUGUGGAUUCUUUGCUACCUGCAUAUAGAAUUAACAGCAAAUUGGACUUUUGUCAGCGAGAAGCUACAGAAACAUUUAUUUCUCUUUUCAUCCGAAGAAAAGUGGUUAAAGAUAAGUAUCAUUAAAGUCUAACUUGAGAAUUAGUGUUGGCUUUGAAAGUUGUAUUUCUUGAAUAGCAUGGAGCUUUUAAAAAGGAAACAAGGCUAGGGGAAAAAAAGUCUUAUUAAAGGUUUUCCAAAGUGAAUGUAUAUCUGAGUUAUACCUCAUUAAAGCUGUUAGUUUUUAAAAACUUUAAGUAAUUGAUCUUAAUUCUUAUUAAUGUUCGAUAUAUAAUUCUCAUCUAAACACCAAACCCAGAUUAAUAAUUUAAAAGUUGCAUUGUCAGGUGAUUCAGCUGGUUCGUAUGACUGAAUAGUAUAUAUAUAAGGUUGAUGUCAUCUGGUACAUGUGAUUCACCAGACCUCUGUCAUCUUUAGUUCUUAUUUCAAUUUGUUAUUAAAUUCCUACAGGGACUUCCCUGGUGGUCCACUGGUUAAGACUCCCUGCUUCCAUUGCAAGGGGUGCAGAUUUCAUCCGUGAUCUAGGAACUAAUAGCCCGCAUGCCUGGAGAGAGGCCGAAAAAUAAAUAAAAAUAAACUCCUAU